AUGGAAGCCGGGUGUACCUAAAGUCGGUAACCGCAAGGAGCCGCCGUAGGGUAAAACUGGUAACUGGGGCU
RNAcentral lists this ribosomal RNA (71 nucleotides) under uncultured bacterium. RNAcentral describes it as "partial 16S ribosomal RNA". The record is from RNAcentral.